This 1061-nucleotide long non-coding RNA is filed under the name Malus domestica (apple). RNAcentral describes it as "long non-coding RNA (MDOM_LNC000064)". Lineage: Eukaryota; Viridiplantae; Streptophyta; Magnoliopsida; Rosales; Rosaceae. The record is from RNAcentral.
GAAGAUGAAGAAAUCAACGAAAGACGGUUCUUUGCACGGGCAAGAUGUAGAAGAUUGCUAGAAGAGGGGGAACAAAUAUCCUCUAAGCUAUCUCUCUCUUGUAGGGUAGAAUAAAUCGCUCUCCAAAGUUGAUUUAAUAAGCCACUUAAGGUGGACUUAAAUAGGCUUUGAGAGAAAUUUAUUUCCCUUUCCUAGAAUGAUCUAAUUUCCUAUUAAAGAGAGAAUCUACAUCAAAAUAGGAAGCAGUCAUAAGUUUCCUAAAGCAAGAAGAUCUCUACACCUGCUGCCCUUUUCUGCGAGCAGCCCAAGAGGUGUGGCGGCAUUUGUGGAGCCAAAAAUAAUCACAAGGCGACACGUGGAUUUUUGGGUAAAAAGGACAAAAAUACCCUUGAGGUGUACCAAGUUUCUACGUGCGAGCAGUAGACAAUCAUCCUCAACCAAGUCAAAAAUGCUCCAAAAAAGGUAACCAAUUAUAAAUUAUCUCAUCCAUCCUCAUUUUAGGUAAUUACUUCAUAACCUAUAAAUUGUUCCAUAUAAAUAGAGAUUAAUUGGCUAAUUCAUGAAUUAAUUCCUAAAUUCAUUAAUCAACCAAUUAAAUCACCAAUCAUACCCAAAAAAUACCUCUUUUGGCCGGUUACCCACUCCCCUAAAGGAACCGGCCAUCUCCUUUUAUUUCCUACCUUUUCUACCAUAUCUUUCCUUUUUAUGAUAAUAAUUAGCUAAGAUAAAUAGGGAAUUAUUAGCUAAUUAUUUCACAAAAUCCCAAUUACCACAAAAUAUCCCCAAAUAUGCACUAAAUGGCUGGCCAUCUAUUGCUAGAAAAGGAAUUGGCCAUACUUUGCUUAUUCAUCCCAUUAAUUAACUAAUUCAUUUGGUAAUAAUCCUUUUGCCAAAUUAAUUAGUCAAUUAAUCACAUAACUCCCAAAAUCAUAUUAAAUCAAGAACCCUAUCCCUAUAAAUAGGCUCCUAUUUUCACCAAAAACUAAUUCCAAGACUCUUGCAAAAAAUCCCAAAAUUCUCUAAAAACUCUUUCUCUCUAAAUUCUAACUUUAGCAUCGGAG